Molecule: ribosomal RNA, 1817 nt
Filed under: Triticum aestivum (bread wheat)
Lineage: Eukaryota; Viridiplantae; Streptophyta; Magnoliopsida; Poales; Poaceae
Description: partial small subunit ribosomal RNA
Source: RNAcentral
CUACUUGGCCCAAAUAUAUCAGAUCAGAGGUUUUGUAUCGAAACGGGUGAUCAAAAGUUAAAGAGAAACGGAUAAAUAAUUUAUGAGGACACCGCGUCCGGCUUGACGUGUCUCCUACCUUCGUUACCACCGGCACCGACACGAACACGGAACCGAUCGUACCGAGUAGCAGAGAAAGGAAAGGGAGAUGGAGGAGUCGGACGAGCGCGUGCGCGCGAGGCCGGAGGGAGGCCCGGGGGCGGGUGACGGCGAGUAGCCGUCAUAGGUGGAAGAGCCGCUGUUCGGCGUGGCGAGAGAACGAGCGAAUCGGUUCUAGGUGCCGGGCGAGUACAGGUAGGCGGAGCCGUGCCAGUGGUGCCAGCAGCAGAGGAGGGGGCGGUACCGGGCCCUCAAGGACGUCUCCGUACUGAGGCACGAGCGGUGGGCCAGGCACGGACUGCGGUGGCCGUUCGUGCGCCAUCCGAGGCAGCGAACCGACGGGGGGGCACGGUGCCACCGCGCGCGAGGCGUUCUAUUACCGGUGCCUCGACAAGCGCGGCGUCGCCGAGCUGCGCGAGGUGGUGGAGGCCUCGCUGUUUCACUCCCUCGAGUGCCUGGUGCAGCGCGCCGACCGCGCGCUCCCGUGCGGCCACUUGUAGCCGGCGCACCGGAAGUGCUGCUCGGACUUGGAACAGAGGGCUUGGUAGAAGAGGUAGCUGGAGUGCUCGGAGCCACUGGUGCCGGCGAGGUUCCUCAAGGUACUCCACUAGUGCCCGUACUACCUUCCGAACCCCUGGGGGUUGCACAGCCUGAAGAAGGGCCACGACCGCGGCCGGCUGGACGUCCCGUACGCGACCGCCAACCGCGCCGACAAACGUGCCGACGUGCGGCACAAGCUGCGGCUCCACCUGGUCUCCGACGCGCCGGCGCUGCGGCCGGUCGGGUCCUUCUUGCUGAUGGAGCUGCACGACGAGCUGAACCGCCGCUCACUCCUAGCCUUCCUGGACGAGCUGGCACUCUGCGAUGCGAGUGUAGAAUGCCUAAACAAACGACGACCAUCACUAUGGUUGAGAUCGUGUCACCUUACCCGUUACUGGCUCGAAGAGGUUUUGGCUAGUAGUUACCGAUCCAAACGCUGCUCGAACGCGUUCAAUAGCCGCAUUCUUUUUUGUAACUUCUUCGACUGUAACGAGCCAACGGGAUAGAAGUUCGACAGUAUUUUCUCUGAGAAGCUGAGGUGGGAGGACGAGGUAACAACAACGGUGCGGUUCGUUUUUGUUGACAGUUUUAUCUUCCAAUGUGUUAUGGGUACCUAAGUGCGAACAAGUAUUUGCAUACCCGUUAUCCUGCUCUAUUUCUACACACCUGAUUUGGAGUCUUCAAAUACGGCCUCUCCAAGAACCCUAGCUGAUAACUGAAAUCCCCAUACCUAAAACUCGAGGAAGGUAAACCACGCCCCGCAGCCUAGACGGGACCUUAUUGUAACCGUUAAGCCUACCACGUACACUACGAGCGAAGUAACAAUUUAGUUAAAUCCACCUCAGAGGGACAACUCUACCUUGUACUACCCUAACUAUACCUUCUAGUCAAACCGUAAUGUGAUCGCUUCCAGCACGGAGAAACAUAAUAUCGUUGUGGUUAAACUAGGCUAUUCUUUAACGUUGUAACAAUUCUCACCUAAUCUACAACAAUUACACAUUAUUAAAUUUACUUACCUGGUACACUAAACAUGGUAAUAAAUACACUGUUGAAGGUAUAAGAGAGUAUCAAGGUUGGAAAACACGGAAGUAAUAGGUGACUAAACAACCUUUAUACGGGUUCUCCGUUAUUAUUUAUAU